RNAcentral lists this ribosomal RNA (547 nucleotides) under uncultured bacterium. RNAcentral's name for it is "bacterial SSU rRNA". It matches the Rfam family "Bacterial small subunit ribosomal RNA", at positions 355 to 896 of the family's 1533-position model. The record is from RNAcentral.
UGGGGAAUAUUGCGCAAUGGGGGGAACCCUGACGCAGCCAUGCCGCGUGAAUGAAGAAGGCCUUCGGGUUGUAAAGUUCUUUCGGUAUUGAGGAAGGUUGAUGUGUUAAUAGCACAUCAAAUUGACGUUAAAUACAGAAGAAGCACCGGCUAACUCCGUGCCAGCAGCCGCGGUAAUACGGAGGGUGCGAGCGUUAAUCGGAAUAACUGGGCGUAAAGGGCACGCAGGCGGUUAUUUAAGUGAGGUGUGAAAGCCCUGGGCUUAACCUAGGAAUUGCAUUUCAGACUGGGUAACUAGAGUACUUUAGGGAGGGGUAGAAUUCCACGUGUAGCGGUGAAAUGCGUAGAGAUGUGGAGGAAUACCGAAGGCGAAGGCAGCCCCUUGGGAAUGUACUGACACUCAUGUGCGAAAGCGUGGGGAGCAAACAGGAUUAGAUACCCUGGUAGUCCACGCUGUAAACGCUGUCGAUUUGGGGGUUGGGGUUUAACUCUGGCGCCCGUAGCUAACGUGAUAAAUCGACCGCCUGGGGAGUACGGCCGCAAGGUUA